GGGGGGCGGGCUUACCUGCAGUCGAGCGGAGUGAUGGUGCUUGCACUAUCACUUAGCGGCGGACGGGUGAGUAAUGCUUAGGAAUCUGCCUAUUAGUGGGGGACAACAUUUCGAAAGGAAUGCUAAUACCGCAUACGUCCUACGGGAGAAAGCAGGGGAUCUUCGGACCUUGCGCUAAUAGAUGAGCCUAAGUCGGAUUAGCUAGUUGGUGGGGUAAAGGCCUACCAAGGCGACGAUCUGUAGCGGGUCUGAGAGGAUGAUCCGCCACACUGGGACUGAGACACGGCCCAGACUCCUACGGGAGGCAGCAGUGGGGAAUAUUGGACAAUGGGCGCAAGCCUGAUCCAGCCAUGCCGCGUGUGUGAAGAAGGCCUUAUGGUUGUAAAGCACUUUAAGCGAGGAGGAGGCUACUGAAGUUAAUACCUUCAGAUAGUGGACGUUACUCGCAGAAUAAGCACCGGCUAACUCUGUGCCAGCAGCCGCGGUAAUACAGAGGGUGCAAGCGUUAAUCGGAUUUACUGGGCGUAAAGCGCGCGUAGGCGGCUAAUUAAGUCAAAUGUGAAAUCCCCGAGCUUAACUUGGGAAUUGCAUUCGAUACUGGUUAGCUAGAGUGUGGGAGAGGAUGGUAGAAUUCCAGGUGUAGCGGUGAAAUGCGUAGAGAUCUGGAGGAAUACCGAUGGCGAAGGCAGCCAUCUGGCCUAACACUGACGCUGAGGUGCGAAAGCAUGGGGAGCAAACAGGAUUAGAUACCCUGGUAGUCCAUGCCGUAAACGAUGUCUACUAGCCGUUGGGGCCUUUGAGGCUUUAGUGGCGCAGCUAACGCGAUAAGUAGACCGCCUGGGGAGUACGGUCGCAAGACUAAAACUCAAAUGAAUUGACGGGGGCCCGCACAAGCGGUGGAGCAUGUGGUUUAAUUCGAUGCAACGCGAAGAACCUUACCUGGCCUUGACAUAGUAAAACUUUCCAGAGAUGGAUUGGUGGCUUCGGGAACUUACCUACAGGGGGCUGCAUGGCUGUCGCCAGCUCCGGG
RNAcentral lists this ribosomal RNA (1030 nucleotides) under Acinetobacter sp. RNAcentral describes it as "bacterial SSU rRNA". It matches the Rfam family "Bacterial small subunit ribosomal RNA", at positions 37 to 1065 of the family's 1533-position model. Lineage: Bacteria; Pseudomonadati; Pseudomonadota; Gammaproteobacteria; Moraxellales; Moraxellaceae. The record is from RNAcentral.